Molecule: non-coding RNA, 144 nt
Organism: Gossypium hirsutum (cotton)
Lineage: Eukaryota; Viridiplantae; Streptophyta; Magnoliopsida; Malvales; Malvaceae
Source: Rfam
UAUUAAAAAUUUCAUGUAUUUCUACUAUUAAAAUAUGAUGUGACAGACAGAAUAACCAUACAGUUAGACAUGGCAUGCCAUGUGUACAUUAUGUUGACGUACAAGAACAACUUUUUAACAGUAAUAUACAUUAAAUUUUUAACA